UAUUGAUUAAAAUAAAUCUAAUUUUUUGUUCCAUAAUAAUAGAUCUGGAAGACUAAUAAGAUGAGUUGGGUUAAGCUCAAUAAGUUGAGUGGAGCUGUGAUCCAUAAUAAACCUAACAGCAAGAGAUUCAAUAAUAAACUAAUGUCCAGGCGUGGGUUGAAUCAGAUCGAAACUUAUGAAACGUAAUGGCUGAGCCCUUAAGUGCGAUCGAUAUGUCCUUCCUAUCAGCACAUAUUUUUGGAAUAGUUGGUUAGUACUUGUAAUCCACAAAU
RNAcentral lists this long non-coding RNA (272 nucleotides) under Ananas comosus (pineapple). Its description in RNAcentral is "long non-coding RNA (ACOM_LNC017341)". Lineage: Eukaryota; Viridiplantae; Streptophyta; Magnoliopsida; Poales; Bromeliaceae. The record is from RNAcentral.